AGAGAGAGACAUGCGUGCAUAUCAAUAAGCGGAGGAAAAGAAACUAACAAGGAUUCCCCUAGUAACGGCGAGUGAAGCGGGAAGAGCUCAAAUUUGAAAUCUUAAAGGGUUUCCCUUUACGAAUUGUAGUUUAAAGAAGUGUUUUCUGUUGAGGUUUUGGUAAAAGUUCUUUGGAAUAGGACAUCAUAGAGGGUGAGAAUCCCGUAUUUGACCUUUACUUUCAACUUUGUGAUACACUUUCAAAGAGUCGGAUUGUUUGGGAAUGCAGUCCAAAAUGGGUGGUAAAUUUCAUCUAAAGCUAAAUAUUGGCGAGAGACCGAUAGCGAACAAGUACCGUGAGGGAAAGAUGAAAAGAACUUUGAAAAGAGAGUUAAACAGUACGUGAAAUUGUCAAAAGGGAAGCGUUUGACACCAGUGUUGUUUUUCUGAAAAUCAAUUAAGGAACUGUUUAUGCUAAGCUGUUUAGACUUUAUCAGCUCAUCUGUUUAGUUUUGAGCUUUUCUUUAAUGCACUUUUCAGUUAACAAGUCAACAUCAAUUUCUUUUGCUGUAAAAAAGCUUGAGGAAGGUGGCUUGAGAUUCGUCCUUAAGUGUUUAUAGCCUCUUGCCUAUGCAGUCGGAGAGAUUGAGGUCUGCAGCGUAGAUCCUUCGGGGCUAAAUGCAUUUGUGCUAAGUUAUAGCACUUUAUAGACAACUUGUUGACUAUGAUUUGUCUUGUAGCUUACUCGCUUAUGUUAUUUUACCUACGCUUAGGAUGUUGACGCAUGAGAUAUACGC
RNAcentral lists this ribosomal RNA (776 nucleotides) under uncultured Neocallimastigales. RNAcentral describes it as "partial large subunit ribosomal RNA". It matches the Rfam family "Eukaryotic large subunit ribosomal RNA", at positions 23 to 647 of the family's 3401-position model. Lineage: Eukaryota; Fungi; Neocallimastigomycota; Neocallimastigomycetes; Neocallimastigales. The record is from RNAcentral.